UAGGGUGUGGGAGUCAAAUAAUACACUGUAAUUGAGUCUGUUGCCACUGUGUUGCUCACCCCCUCUCUCUCAUUGUGGCGGCAAUCUUUCACCACCGGUUUCUCUCCUUCUGAAGGCUGUUAGUUUCUGUCUUUCAGUUUUCUCCUCUAAGUACUCCUUCUUCUGUUCGUCACUUUACUCUAUAUUAUCCUUUAUGUUUUCUGCUUUUGCAAAGGCUACUUAUGAUCGUAUCUAUUUAUGUACAGAGCCCACUGUGUGUGAACCCCUAAAAACAGGGUCUGCUCAGUGUCAGGUUGUGAGAUGGGGUUAUGUUAGGUCAUAUAUCAUUACGUCCGCCAAGGACGUUAUGUUUUCGGUAGCGUUGGUUUGUUUGUUUGUCUGUUAGCAACUUUACGGAGAAAGUAACAGACGGAUUGACCUGAAAUUUUCACCAGAGGUGCAUCUCAGCCCCAGGAGGAUCCCAUUACAUUUUGGUGGUGAUCCAGACAAAAUUCUGGAUACUGUGAUCCAGAACACACAAAAAUAAGGGUGUCGUUGGAAUUUUCAAUGGUUAAAGAUAAAGAAUGGGCGGCACAGUGGUGUAGAUAGGCAGCACAGUGGUGUAGUGGUUAGCACUGUCGCCUCACAACCAGAAGGUCCUGGGUUUGAAUCCCAGUCAGGGCAAUCAUGUUGAAAAUGACAUGAUGAAAUGUAGCAGACAUGACACCAUUUUAGGGGAUGUGAUUUUUCCGAUACUAUCUGAAAUUGACCCUCUAAUGCAAACACUACUUUUGCACAAACCGAGUAUGACAUGAAAACGAGAGAGAGCUUAGAGACGCAGCACAGCACUGAUCAUUUGCACAACAAUGGACCCUAAAUACGGCCUAUUUAUAGUCAUGGAUACAAAAGGUGGGCGGUCCUGAAUAGUGGCUGAGGGUAAAUUAGCAGAAACACACUGAGAGGCAAAAAUGGACAAAAGCUUCCUAGACCACCACUAUCUUUGAUUGUGUUCUGUGUGAAAGGGUCUCAAUGAGUGCUCAAGGCCUCUUGGGGGUUUCAGUGCGCUUAUACUAAAGGUCCUGUCACUGUAUCGCAGGGUGCAUAUUAAUACAAGGUUAAAACAGGCCAUUAUUACUUCAACUACUUAUAUAUGUAAAUGUCCAUUAUGCACUUUGUAUAAUAAUUCAGAUCUUUGUGUUCACUCCUCAGAGUGUAGGCAUGAACAUUACAUUUGCAAUUAUACUAUAUAUGUGGGCUUGAAUAUAGAAUCAGUGCAGAAUUAGUCACUGCUUUGAAAUCACGUCUUAAAAAUCAUUUUUAUAGACUUGCUUUUAUGUGAUUUUGUCUUUUUAAUAGCUUUUACCCUUCUUAUUCUAUUCUUGUUUUUGUGGUUGGGUUCCUGUGUUGGCAGGGUAUCACAGUACUUAUGAUGUCUUUGUUUUAAUGACGUCUCAGCUCAUGUGACACUUAGCAAUGCUUUUAUGUCUUCAAUUCCACCUCUUAGUCAGUCCUACACGACGCUAUGUUUCAUGUUUGGGGAAGUGAUGACGAGAAAGGGAAGCUUGCUCUGAUUGGAUAGAAAGGGUCCAAAUAUGACCAACUCCAGGUCUGACGUGCUUAUAACCACGGUCAACACCCCAUUUAUGCAGUUUUAUGUGGAUGGGAUUUUAUUUGAAAACAAUGACGUGUGUGCGUGACGGAGGUGGUUAGAUAUCCGUUUAAAAAAAUACCCAGCUACAUGUGUGCAAGGUCCACAUGUAUACCUCAUGUAUACUACAUAAGGCCUCAUAUUCGGGCCACUAAGAACUACUUUCUUAAAGGUGGGGUAGGCAGGAAUCCGUUACAGAAGCAUCUUUUUUUGUGGUGUAUAUACAAAAAAGUUUACAAUAUCAGUCAGUAGCUAUUAGUCAUUAAUGACAUUUGGUAAUAUCACAAUAUCGCUAUGUUUUGUUAAGUCUGUGUAGUCAACAUUUUAAACUUUCAGAGCGCUCCGCUCUUUCUCACUGUAAACAAAGCCAUUCCUCGCCUCCCUCAUCCUGAUUGAUUGUGAGGCGGAUGUUGCUCCCCCUUGUCGUUCAUGAGCCCAAACAAAGUUAGCAUGCUACAAUAUUGGAGGGUAGAAACCAACCAGAAAGUACAGAAAAUUGUCUGAAUCCUCCUUUGGCCACGACUGCCAACAUGAGCAAGAAAACAAAGUAAAUACUGGAGACUAUGGCGGAAUAACAGGCGCUUAAAAAGGAGGUAGACCGGACAAGAGCUAAAAAAAGUCCGCUCAACAAUGAUGGGGGACGCUUUGGGAUUUUAUGGACCCUGUAACCUUUCUGCUGGACAGGUAAACCGCUUUAACAAAGUAAGCCAAGUGUCUGUAACAGAAGUGUUUCUUGUCAAACGGGACCUGCUGUAGCAUGUUGUAGCGCCGCUAAACUGUUGACCUCGGGUCCUGGACUAUGUCACUUUAUCCUAGUUGUAGAAGUCCUGCAAACAUUGUAUUUGUUGGUAGUCUGUUGGCAUCUACAGUAGCACCAAUGCUUUUUAACUUUCACGUUGACUGGGCCUGAUUUGUAAUUAUCUGAAGUAUUUAUCUGCAUUAUAUCUGAAUUUAAUUAAACGAUACAAGUGAGCAGGAGCGUCUGUUUGUGGGCGGGGCUUGCUGGAGCAGAGAGGGAGGGGAGAGGAGGAGCUGAGGGGAAAACUGGUUGGUAGGGGUAGAGUUUACAUUCAAGAUUUCUCCCCAAAAUUGGCACUUCCUCAGAUCCUGCCUACCCCACCUUUAAUUCCAGUCAUCUUAUUUGUAUGACUGGAAAAUGAUAAUCGACAAAUGAUCAGGAGCAGAUGUCUUUCAAUGUGAUCUAUCUUUAAAACGAUGACGCUGGAGUAGCUUCAAACAUUUCCCUCAGCAUGUCCUGUAAAUACAGUUUUAAUUGGGUCAAAACUCAAGAUCUCAACUGAAUGUCUGUCUGUAUAAUCGGGCUGCGACCUCGAUUAUCUCACUUUGAAAAUUUACUUCAUAUUGAAGCGAGUGAUGCUGACAGACUAGAUAUGCUACCCAGUCUGUAUUUGCUAUUAUACUGUGGCCUACUUACAAAUCAUCAGCUGUGUAUUGCUGUAUUUGAAAGGCAGGCGAUAUGAUUGUGCCAUUCACGACGAAAAUUAAACUUUUGCAACUUUAGACUGCCUCUUCAUAAUGAAAACUUUACCAAAAUGAUCUGACAUGUCCUGAUUUGACACACCUCGCCAAUCUGAGCACUAAAGAUAAUUUGCAACUACUGAAGCCCUGAUCUCCCUGUGUGAGACGUCUAAUCAAAACAUAGUCUCCAGAGUGUGAACAAGUACGGGAGACUAUAAAUAAACCCCGACCAAACUGCCUGUCUUUCUUCAAACACAGCUGAGGCUGCGAUCAGGCAAGCGUGUCCAAUCUAGAGCGCCUAGGCGAUGCAAACAUCUUUUGAGGAUGACAUGUCAGUCAAACGAACGGGAAAACAAUGGAGAGAGAUGAGGCAUGGAGGAGAUUGACUGGUGGAGGUGUCAUUCAAUGCACAUACACACACAUGUACAGGACACAACUGUGCACAUGAGGAAAUGUGUAUAAUAAUAAUAAUAACUUUGUUGAUAUGGCACUUUUAAAGACAAGAGUUUACAAAGUGCUUUAACAUGCAGGAAGACAAAGAAAGAUAAAAACAACAAAACAACAACAAGAGAAAACUUGAGGGAAAGAGCCUAGACAAGACUAAAACCCAGACUACAUAUCCUAAUGUGACAUUAGUGGCAAUUAAGAAAUAAAAUUAAAUAAAUUAAGCAUCAUUUUGGAGUAUAAAGUCAACAAGACACAAGUAAGGUGGAGGAAGGCUAUUUGGUGUAGAAUAACCAACUGCAAAACACUCCUUCUCCUUUCCUCUUCACUUAAAUAUAUACUCUGUGUAUAUCUGUGCUGUCCACUGCCUGACAUAGACAAGGGUGCAUAGUAUAGGACGUUUAUCUGUUACCCCCAAUUUCCACUGCAAAGGUCUGAUCAGCUCCGCCGAUUGCAGCUGAUCGUAACCAUUCAAGUUAAUGUGUCAAUUUCCACCGGCUUCUUUCCGUUCCUCAGCUGAUCGCAAAACUUCUAUUGUUUCUGGACGCCUCAGCAUGCCACAUAAAUUCAGCACAGAUUAACCCGCGCUGGAAAGGAAGUCGGGCACAGACACAAAAUAAAACAUCCGGCUUCUUUUCAAAAUAAAACACUACGUGUUUAAGGUGGAUCAUAUUUUGCGCCAUGCAAACAGUCGGGGACGAACAAGUCAAAGGUUUUCAGACUUCAUUUCACCUCAUUGACACCAUGGAUGAGGAGAUGCUGAUUCUAGAAGUCUAGAAGUAGAUUUCCUCCUCUGGAAGGACACAGUCUUUGGCAUACAUGGUUAUGUGGCUGUCUUUAUAGAGACAACUCGUUAUCGCACAAUUGCACGUGACUCCGUGGGUUCUUGUGAGUUCUUGCAAUUCCUGCUGUCCGAAAUCCACCACGAAAUUUGUCUCACAAACUGAUUUGGUAGGAAUUGGCAGACGGCAAAAAUAGCCGCAGUUUUAGAUCAUAGCCAUUCCAGAUGCGGCGGUGGGGUUAGUUGUUGCGGACAAUGACGUUUGGGGAUUUAAAACUCCGGUUAUUUACGUCCACAAGCAAAAGUAAAACCUGAAGUUUUCUAAAACCUAAAUUUGGCUGGAGUUUUUCAAAAGCACUGUUUUUAAUAAUCCCGUGGUUUUGUGUGGAUGGCACGCCAAAACGUAUGAAAAUAUGUUCAUUUUGGCAAAUACCCAGCUACAAGCGGACAAGGCCUGAGACAACCUGAUCACGAGAUGACCCUCCCUUUAAAGGAUUACUCAAAAGAAUGAUAUGAAUUCUGUUAUAACAAGGAAAACAUACACAGUAUAUUUCAAGCUUUCAUUAGUUUGCCUUUCUACAAACUUAACCUAUCAAGAAAUUCUGAAAAAUGUCCCUGUUAUUACUAUUACCACAAAAAAACACUAUGUUAUUUAUGAACAUACUGAGGCAUGCUGGGAGAGAGGAAGAGUAGGAGACAUGGACAGGUGGACAAAAGCGGCUUACAGAUAGCAACCUACCUGUGAGGGAUACUUUCUGGUCAUAUCUUUGAGUGACAACCGGGAGAAGUACACACAGACACACACAUACACAUAUGCUCAGACAGUCAUUCAGGGGUCUGUGAUAAGGUAAUCCAUUUACUGGUGAGGGCCGGUUUCCUGCUAUCAUUCUGAAUGAUGGAGACUGGCUUUCAUCUCUCAGCCCUACCACUACCACACACACACACACACACACACACACACACACACACACACAUUUUAUCAUUUCAAAGGUUUAAUUAGCUUAUGAAUAUUCCCAGGCAGUGAGAAGAAUCCCCCCCACCCCCAAAUAGAUAAGCGGUUAAAUGUUUUCACUCAACCAGAGGUCAAAUGUGAUGCAGUUCAUUCUCAAAUUCUCAAAAAACUUAUUUUAUCUAACAUGCUGUUUUUUUUUCCCUUCUUUUUUUUCUCAAAAGUGGUAACCCAGAUUUAUGAAUAUUUGCUCAGGUAAAAUUACACUGUCGUUCAAACAGAUUUAGCAAUCACAGAAUAAGGAAAUUAACUUGUGACUUGAUUAAGGGGGCUUUCACACCUUUGUUGUUUGGUCGGGACUUUUGGACUUUUCUGUUUAGUCCAAAACAAAAUGAUAGGUGUGAAACCUCCCAGGGACCUUAGUCUGACCAAAAGAGGUGGUCUCGGUCUGGACCAAAUUAGACCUAUGGCCUAGGCCGUCAUGGUGCCAGGAGCACCAAUCCCUCAAGCACCGGACCCUUCAUGUUCUUCCAGCAGGUGGUGGGUCCACUGGAGGGGGUGCCUAUGUGGCUUGUUCGGGCUGGGCCUGGCCGGGCUCCAUGGGUGCAGGCCUGGCCACUAGGCACUCGCCAAAGAGCCCCAACCCUGGGCCGGGUACACUGGUUCCCUUUUUUCUUCUUCAUGAGGGUCCUCUGAACCGUUCUUAGUCUGACCCUUCGCCUAGGACCAAUGCCAUGGGAGACCCUACCAGGGGCAAAAUGCCCCAGACAGCAUAGCUCCUAGGUUCAUUAGAGCACGCAAACUCCUCCACCAUGGUAAGGUGUAGGUUCAAGGAGGAAGGUUUAAUGAAGUUCAGGCAAAGGUCGGUACACAAAAAGGCAGUCAGGUCAGGCAGAGGUAUCAAAAACAAGAGGCAAAAAGGCAAGGUCCGAAAAGGCUGAAAAAUACUGAAAAAUAAAAGAGAAACUUGAUCAACAUGACAAAAGGCCUGAUUGAUGUUGUGAAACUGUAAUAGUUUUGUUUUUCAAGGCACUAAAUCAAACCAGUAUGGUGCAGAAAACCAUGAUGGCUCUAGAAAAUUGAAUACACCUCACGUCACUUCACAUAGUUUGACUUGAGAAGACACUUGAGCUAACCUGUCAGAGAAGUAGAACUUCUGACAUUAGUAUUUAAUAGUUGAAAUCUUUAAAAUAAGGCCAUGGUCCAUCUGUCUUCGCAUGUGUAUGUGCUCUAAUGAGCUCCACAGAGCUACUGGUUGUUUUGAUGUUUUAUUCUAUUGUUUAUUCUAUUGAAGUCUGGAGCAUCUGGCAAUAUUCCACAUCCCUCUUUUUGGUGCUUUCUGUGUUCGCCCGAAUCUCUGUUUUUUGUUUGCCUCUUUCUUUCUCUUAAAAUAAUCAUGCAAAGGCACAAAAAUUUGUUAAUUAUUUUUCUUAAUGUUUUGACAUGGGAGCCAAAUGACUAAUGCUCCAGUUAUUGUCUCAGAGGAAAUCCAAAUCAACAAACAAGGACCUGUUUCAGAGAAUCGCAGAAAAAAGCAGCCUGCAGCUUGAUCUCCUGGUAAUUCCUCAAAAAUCCUUGAAGACACGGUGAACGUGGUUUCAUCAUUCUGUUUGAAUAUUUGUUUGGGAAAACCCACUUAAGCAAAUAUAAAGCAACAAACCCUUUGAAGACUGACUGUCAACCCUGAAGGUAAACAGAACAGAGAAAAACAUAUUCAAAGUGUUCCUGACUUUGUUCAUAAUUUAAGGUUUUUGGAGUUCAAUUAAAUCUGAAUAUAUCUCUGCUUUAACCCCAUUCUGUAAAAUUCUUUUGAUAUAUUUUUGACAUGUUUCACAAUUAUUUUUUAAGCCAAAGCUUGGUAUUAGAUUAUUCAUGAGAGUGGCCACAUUAGCGUCGUGAGAGAAACAUUAUUUAUGGUGUUGAAUACUGUGGAGAGUCUUUGACAUUUUAACAUUACAGGGAGAAACAGGGCUAUACUUGGAGCAGCCAGCCCAUGUAAACAACAUAAAUGUCUGAUUAUGGGGCAAUUAUCUGAUUAUUAAGAGCAUGUGAACAUUGUCAUUGUCUUGUCCUGCUUCCCCUUCAUUUACAACUGCAAUGCCUGUGAUUAGAUCUUUAAAAUUAGCUUGAAAUGACGACUCUCGCAAGCAAACAACAACUUCUCUUAGAAACACAGUGUGAGCCGCAAAUAGAAACCUACACAGUUCAAUGUGACUGUGCCUCAAGAGGUGGCUCACCUGUGGUUCAUGAAGGAGUCAGGAACCCCAGACUCAACCUAAACCUGUGUAUAAUUAUGAAAACAACAACAGAGCUGGGCACAUGUUUGCUUUCUUUUUUUAUUAUUAGCCUGAAAUAUGGACAUUUAUUUUGAAAAAUUACAAAACUUAAACAUCGAACUUACAUUUAUCUUCAGAUGUGUGCAUGCUCUGAGAUACCGCUGCAUGCAAUGCUGUGUGCAGCUGUAUAAAUACAGGAGCUAUGCCAAGUGUCCAUGCCUCCCACCUCAUCAGGAGUAAACACAAUUUCUAUUUAAAGUCCUUGAACUAGAUCUCAUCCUCAUUUAUCCCCCAAAGACUUUGCUCUCUAAAGACUGUCCAACAUUCCACACGCGUAUAAGGGAUUGUAUGAUACAGAUCCAAGUGAGCUGACGGUAUCUGCAAAGCAAAUGCUGGUCAAGUGUUCCUACAUAUAACAUAACCAAUUUUUACUGCUAAGGAAAAAAGUUCUUAAAACCACUUUUCAAACUUUUUUUUCAUGGGUUCAAUCAACCUUUUUAAGAAAUAUGUGUGUUCCUGCUCUUUUACCACAGUUUCCAUGUAUAAUCAAUUUUCAGAUGGUUCAACUAUCUAAGGUUUAAACUUGUUUAAAGCUCCUGUGGGGAGUUUUUUGACAUCUAAGAAAUAAACUGAAAUGUAUACAAAUUUUCUUUUAAGAAAUUCAAAAACAUGCAAAAUAAUCAGCGACAUGAUUGAUGAUUUUUAUUAGGUGUUUUUUAAUGCCUGAAACCAGUGGGAAAGGGGGUAGGUUUCAGCUGAGCGACUGGACGUUACAUUUUCUACACAACAUUUUUACAGCUAACAAUAUUUGACAGUCAAAUGUCAUUUUUUAAAUUUUUGUCAGACACUAAUAAGCAUUUAGAGAACAAGAUAAGCUGACAUUAUGUCUACAGGGGGGGACAAAAUUGACACAAUCUUACAGUUCCUCACAGGAGCUUUAAAAAGUGAUUCAUAAGACCUUCUUUCAAGUCUAGAGCUGACAGAUUUCCACUGAAACAAGUCGUUGAAAUUAACUACUUACUUGGUUGCACGUAUUUUACAGUAUAGGGGAAAAUGUUUGAAGCUAAGAGGUUAUUACUUUACUACAAAGUGUCAUUCAAAAAUGGGCACCGUGGCCCGAGUCGUACCUAUUUGCUUAGCUGUUAGCUAGCUAAAUUUCCUUAAUCUGCGUGGAGCUGUAGAACAGUACCAGACUCAGCAGCACUGAUGGUAAUUAAAGACUACCACUCAAUCUUAAAGCUAUAGAGCGUAACUUCUAUCGCCCUGCAUUAGUACAACAACACAGCCAGCACUUCAAUAUGACGAAUGGCCUGGUGGUGAUAUUUUUUUUUUGUAGGACAGUAGGGGAAAUUCCCACCUCCUUUGCCUCUGAUUGGCUAGAAAAGCUGGAAACGUGCUCAAGCCAAACGCAGGCUGUUGGCUCUGUACAUUGAACGGAACAUAAUCGCACUUCUGAAUCUCCUAACCCUAACCCUAACCUUAACCCGGCAGAUGAUAACCC
This is a non-coding RNA of Xyrichtys novacula (pearly razorfish), 9057 nucleotides long. The record is from the annotation of a GenBank genome assembly. NCBI's taxonomy places the organism in Eukaryota, Metazoa, Chordata, Actinopteri, Labriformes, Labridae.